Molecule: non-coding RNA, 21 nt
Organism: Caenorhabditis elegans
Lineage: Eukaryota; Metazoa; Nematoda; Chromadorea; Rhabditida; Rhabditidae
Source: Ensembl
UAGUUAAUAGAGGAUUUUUGA